UACGGGGGGGGCAAGCGUUGUUCGGAAUUACUGGGCGUAAAGGGCGCGUAGGCGGCCUGCUAAGUCGGACGUGAAAUCCCUCGGCUCAACCGAGGAACUGCGUCCGAUACUGGUGGGCUUGAAUCCGGGAGAGGGAUGUGGAAUUCCAGGUGUAGCGGUGAAAUGCGUAGAGAUCGUAAGGAAGACCAGUGGCGAAGGCGAGUUUCUGGACAGUUACUGACGCUGAGGCACGAAGGCCAGGGGAGCAAACGGG
This 253-nucleotide ribosomal RNA is filed under the name uncultured bacterium. RNAcentral's name for it is "partial 16S ribosomal RNA". It matches the Rfam family "Bacterial small subunit ribosomal RNA", at positions 524 to 776 of the family's 1533-position model. The record is from RNAcentral.